Molecule: ribosomal RNA, 472 nt
Filed under: uncultured bacterium
Lineage: Bacteria
Description: bacterial SSU rRNA
Rfam family: Bacterial small subunit ribosomal RNA
Source: RNAcentral
UGGGGAAUAUUGGACAAUGGGCGCAAGCCUGAUCCAGCCAUGCCGCGUGUGUGAAGAAGGCCUUCGGGUUGUAAAGCACUUUUGUCCGGAAAGAAAAGCUUCGGGUUAAUACCCCGAGGUUCUGACGGUACCGGAAGAAUAAGCACCGGCUAACUUCGUGCCAGCAGCCGCGGUAAUACGAAGGGUGCAAGCGUUACUCGGAAUUACUGGGCGUAAAGCGUGCGUAGGUGGUUUGUUAAGUCUGAUGUGAAAGCCCUGGGCUCAACCUGGGAAUUGCAUUGGAUACUGGCAGGCUAGAGUGCGGUAGAGGAUGGCGGAAUUCCCGGUGUAGCAGUGAAAUGCGUAGAGAUCGGGAGGAACAUCUGUGGCGAAGGCGGCCAUCUGGACCAGCACUGACACUGAGGCACGAAAGCGUGGGGAGCAAACAGGAUUAGAUACCCGAGUAGUCCCUGAGCGGGCUGGCAAGGCGCAU